Molecule: ribosomal RNA, 253 nt
Filed under: uncultured bacterium
Lineage: Bacteria
Description: partial 16S ribosomal RNA
Rfam family: Bacterial small subunit ribosomal RNA
Source: RNAcentral
UACGUAUGGGGCAAGCGUUAUCCGGAUUUACUGGGUGUAAAGGGGGCGCAGACGGCGAUGCAAGCCAGGAGUGAAAGCCUGGGGCCCAACCCCGGGACUGCUCUUGGAACUGCGUGGCUGGAGUGCAGGAGGGGCAGGCGGAAUUCCUGGUGUAGCGGUGAAAUGCGUAGAUAUCAGGAGGAACACCGGUGGCGAAGGCGGCCUGCUGGACUGCAACUGACGUUGAGGCCCGAAAGCGUGGGGAGCAAACAGG